Long non-coding RNA from Impatiens glandulifera, 501 nucleotides. RefSeq lists it as uncharacterized. The transcript has 2 exons. Lineage: Eukaryota; Viridiplantae; Streptophyta; Magnoliopsida; Ericales; Balsaminaceae. The record is from RefSeq and is a predicted model, not a curated record.
UUGUAUAAAUAAAUAAAUACAGAGAAGAAGAUUGAGAGAAGAAGAAGAAGAUGUGCUACGAGGUGAAGUGUUCGACGUGCGGUAAGAGCAGCUGGGCAGGAUGUGGACUCCACGUGGCUUCCGUCUAUAAGAAGAUCCCCGACGGCCAACACUGUCAAUGUAAGACUUGGCCCGGCGUUCAGACCCAAUCCGGCGCCACCGCCACCACCGCCACCACCUCCAAUGAAGACGGUUCCACCGGAAUCUGCACCAUUGCUUGAUUAGUCUCAAUUUGCAGAUUGGAUCAGUCAGUCAUUAUAAAGGAGCAGAAAACCAAAUUUUACAAAAUAAAAAAAAAAAGUCUAUGAAGUGAUUUCAUUUUCCUUAAUUUUCAUUUUAUCAAUUAUUGUUCUAAACUUGUAUUAUUUGAAAAUGUGACAGAAGAGUUGUUGAAAUGCACAUCUUCUUUGUAUUAUAGCCUCUGCGUAACAUUUUAUCAAUUAUUGUUCUAAACUUGUAUUA